RNAcentral lists this long non-coding RNA (302 nucleotides) under Hordeum vulgare. Its description in RNAcentral is "long non-coding RNA (HVUL_LNC018623)". Lineage: Eukaryota; Viridiplantae; Streptophyta; Magnoliopsida; Poales; Poaceae. The record is from RNAcentral.
AACGAAAGAACAUAAUGUGCCCUUGAGAUCUGGAGGGGGAUUGUUGAAAUCUAAGAUGGGCCUAAAGCCCAUAAGACAAUUUCAGAAAAUAUCUAAGGGCCCAUGUAGGUGGUGGCAUGACAAGGUGGUGGUGGGAAGUUUAGUCCCACCCCACUAGUGGAGAAGGAGUUGGACCCCUUUAUAAGGGUCUCUCUUCUACAUGCUAUUGUAUCAUGAGAAGAGAAGAGGCCCUCGCGCACUCCUCCUCCGCCACCCGCCUCGCCAUGCCACGCCUCGUCAUGACGCGCCGCGGGUUGUGGGAA